Molecule: long non-coding RNA, 432 nt
Filed under: Homo sapiens (human)
Lineage: Eukaryota; Metazoa; Chordata; Mammalia; Primates; Hominidae
Description: non-protein coding lnc-FTCD-7:1
Source: RNAcentral
AGUUUCUCGGAGAGGCUUCUGGUAAAAGGCUGGAUUUGGAGAUUCUCUGUUGGUAAAAGGAAAUCUCACGUGUGCCCUCCUCAAAGUUAGGACUGAGGGGCGCUGGCGAAGAGCGAAGGGAAGCUGCCUCCCUGGGGACUCGGAUGCGCGCUUGCAGUCAUCACAAGCAAUUGAGUAUCCACAGAUUUGGUCAAUUUAAUAAAAAAUAGGCCAGGGAGAUAAUGAGUGUUUUCUAAAAUAGUUUUAAAUCUAUCGCUAUGUGAACUCAGGUUUUUAGUUUGAAACCAUCAUUUUCUUUCUUUUUUGUUUGCUUUCCAUUAUGUCCCACUUUGCUCAGGGUUCUGUGGCCCCAGCUCAGGGCUGACAUCAUGACUGAUGGUUGUGCACAAAAGAAACGGCAGACCAACGCGUCCUGUGCCAAAGCUGGAGGGG